GAUGAAGAACGUAGCGAAAUGCGAUAAGUAGUGUGAAUUGCAGAAUUCAGUGAAUCAUCGAAUCUUUGAACGCACAUUGCGCCCCUUGGUAUUCCAUGGGGCAUGCCUGUUCGAGCGUCAUUUGUACCUUCAAGCUUUGCUUGGUGUUGGGUGUUUGUCUCGCCUUUGCGUGUAGACUCGCCUUAAAAUAAUUGGCAGCCGGCGUAUUGAUUUCGGAGCGCAGUACAUCUCGCGCUUUGCACUCAUAACGACAGCGUCCAAAAGUACAUUUUACUCUCUUGACCUCGGAUCAGGUAGGGAUACCCGCUGAACUUAAGCAUAUCAAUAAGCGGAGGA
This 336-nucleotide unclassified non-coding RNA is filed under the name soil metagenome. RNAcentral's name for it is "partial contains 5.8S ribosomal RNA, internal transcribed spacer 2, and large subunit ribosomal RNA". The stretch from base 1 to 120 matches the Rfam family "5.8S ribosomal RNA", at positions 35 to 154 of the family's 154-position model. The record is from RNAcentral.